AUGUAUCACUCAAUCUUUGUUCUUCUUCUUUUCUUGUUAUCUUUCUUUGUAUAUAGUUCUCUUUCUGACCCAAGAGCCACAGAGGCUGCUCUUAUAUGCACAAACAAAUCAGCAGCCUUGUCUGAGCGUCAAACUUUCAUAGCAAACUUCUUGGCAACCAUGGACACUACGACCCCAUUGGUUGCCACACAAAGAUAUGCAGCUGUCAUGAAUGGGGCUGGUAAUACCACAGUUUACACCUUUGGUGAGUGCAUGAAAGAUCUCUCUUAGACAGACUGUGAUCUCUGUUUUGCACAGAGCAAGACCCGGAUACAAUACUGCUAUCCAUUUGUAAGAGCCAUUCGUGGAGGCAGGCUUUUCAUGGACGGGUGUUAUCUCAGGUGCGAUGACUACAAUUUCUUCAAUGAUACUUUGGAUUCACAAGACGGCCGUGUGUGGGACACAAGAUUUUGUGGGGAACCGUAGUGUUUUUGGAGCUAAUGUAGAAGAGUUGGUGAGGAAUCUGAGUGUGGAAGCGCCUAAGAAUGAUAAUUUCUUUGUGGGGUUCGUGAAUAAAGGAAAUAUAAUGGUUUAUGGAUUGGCUCAGUGUUGGGAAUUAGUGAGUAGGACUGGUUGUGAGAGGUGCUUGGCCAAUGCUUUCUAUAAUAUCAGUUCAUGUACUCCAAAGGAAGAAGGAAGAGUCUUGAAUGCUGGGUGUUACAUGAGGUAUUACACUCAAAAGUUUUAUUAUAAUUCAAGUAAUACAGUAGGAGGAAAUAAUAUUCAUCAAGGAUACCGCUUAGCUAUUACUUUGGCUGCAACAAGUUCUGCUUUGGCACUUGUUUUGGUUGUAACAACUGUUGUUUUUAUUGUGAGGAAGAAAAUAUUGAAGAAGAGGAGAGAGAGAAAGCUAGUAGGCGAUCUGCUGGCCACCUUAAAUAAGUCCAAACUUAAUUUUUCAUAUGAAAUUCUAGAAAGGGCCACAAAUUUCUUUCAUAGUUCCAAUAAGCUGGGACAAGGAGGUUCUGGUUCAGUUUACAAGGGAGUUUUACCGGAUGGGAGAGUUGUUGCUGUUAAGAGGCUCUUCUUCAAUAGUGUACAAUGGGUGGAUCAUUUCUUUAAUGAAGUCAAUUUGAUCAGUGACAAUGUGACAUCAAUCACAAAAAUCUAGUAAAACUAUUGGGAUGCAGCAUUACAGGCCCUGAAAGCCUUCUUGUUUAUGAAUAUGUGCCAAAUCAAAGCCUUCAUGAUUACUUUUCUGUUAAAAAGAAUCUUCAGCUGCUAAGGUGGGAUGUGAGGUACAAAAUCAUAUUGGGUACAGCUGAGGGCUUGGCCUACCUUCAUGAGGAAUCAAAAUUGAGAAUAAUUCAUAGAGACAUAAAAUUAAGCAAUAUUCUUCUCAAUGAGGACUUUAUGCCAAAGAUUGCAGACUUUGGACUUGCUAGAUUAUUUCCAGAAGAUAAGACUCACAUCAGCACUGCAAUUGCUGGCACAUUGGGUUACAUGGCUCCGGAAUAUGUUGUUCAUGGCAAGUUGACUGAGAAGGCAGAUGUUUACAGUUUUGGAGUUCUAAUCCUUGAAGUUGUAUGUGGAAAGAGAAAUAGUUCAUUUUCCGAAAAUUCUUCUAUCCUACAAAUGGUUUGGAAUCUUUAUGUAGCGGGUAGGCCAUGUGAAGCAGUUGAUCCAGAAUUAGAGGCUAAUUUUCAAGAAGUGGAAGCAUCUCAAUUACUUCAAAUAGGCUUACUUUGUGUACAAGCAUCUGCAGAACUGAGGCCAUCGAUGCCAGUAGUUGUGAAAAUGCUAACUCAUAGUCAAGACAUUCCUCAACCAACACAGCCACCAUUUCUUAAUUCUAGCAUUAGAGAAGCUAACCAAAUUGUUCCACUUAGAGCUUAUAAUUUUCAGCUUGAUUCGGACACCCAGACUUCAGGGAACAGCAUGACAGAAAGCUUGAUUGAUCCUAGAUGAACAUUUAUUUUAUUCACUUUUUCAUGGGAACCCAUGUCACCAGGUGUUGCUGUUGCCAACUUGAAAUUCCUAGCUUUCCAGUGUGUUCCUUCUUGAAUUAGUACAGAGGAGAUUCUUGCUCAAAGAGGCAACAUUAUUCUGAGCUCAUAUGGCUCAAGUGACUAGGUCAGGUAACAGUCCUUGGGGAGCCUAAUGAAGAUCAUAAUUCAUAGGAUACAAAGUGAUCCAGGGCUAUGACCUGUACCAGGUGCUAAAAUACUG
Quercus lobata is the source of this 2208-nucleotide RNA transcript. It is a transcript of the gene named cysteine-rich receptor-like protein kinase 3, with no coding region annotated. NCBI's taxonomy places the organism in Eukaryota, Viridiplantae, Streptophyta, Magnoliopsida, Fagales, Fagaceae. The transcript is spliced from 7 exons. The record is from RefSeq and is a predicted model, not a curated record.